Molecule: ribosomal RNA, 253 nt
Filed under: uncultured bacterium
Lineage: Bacteria
Description: partial 16S ribosomal RNA
Rfam family: Bacterial small subunit ribosomal RNA
Source: RNAcentral
UACAGGGGGUGCAAACGUUGCUCGGAAUCAUUGGGCGUAAAGCGCACGUAGGCGGUCUGUGAUGUCGGAUGUGAAAGCCCUUGGCUCAACUGAGGAAGUGCAUCCGAAACUGGCAGGCUAGAGUACUAAAGAGGAUCGCGGAAUUCCCGGUGUAGAGGUGAAAUUCGUAGAUAUCGGGAGGAACACCGGUGGCGAAGGCGGCGAUCUGGGUGGAUACUGACGCUGAGGUGCGAAAGCGUGGGGAGCAAACAGG